GAUGAAGAACGUAGCGAAAUGCGAUAAGUAAUGUGAAUUGCAGAAUUCAGUGAAUCAUCGAAUCUUUGAACGCACAUUGCGCCCGCCAGUAUUCUGGCGGGCAUGCCUGUCUGAGCGUCAUUUCAACCCUCAUGCCCCUAGGGCGUGGUGUUGGGGAUCGGCCAAAGCCCGCGAGGGACGGCCGGCCCCUAAAUCUAGUGGCGGACCCGUCGUGGCCUCCUCUGCGAAGUAGUGAUAUUCCGCAUCGGAGAGCGACGAGCCCCUGCCGUUGAACCCCCAACUUUCCAAGGUUGACCUCAGAUCAGGUAGGAAUACCCGCUGAACUUAAGCAUAUCAGUAAGCGGAGGA
This 348-nucleotide unclassified non-coding RNA is filed under the name soil metagenome. Its description in RNAcentral is "partial contains 5.8S ribosomal RNA, internal transcribed spacer 2, and large subunit ribosomal RNA". The stretch from base 1 to 120 matches the Rfam family "5.8S ribosomal RNA", at positions 35 to 154 of the family's 154-position model. The record is from RNAcentral.